Molecule: unclassified non-coding RNA, 213 nt
Filed under: fungal sp.
Lineage: Eukaryota; Fungi
Description: partial contains small subunit ribosomal RNA, internal transcribed spacer 1, and 5.8S ribosomal RNA
Rfam family: Eukaryotic small subunit ribosomal RNA (bases 1-47)
Source: RNAcentral
AAAGUCGUAACAAGGUCUCCGUUGGUGAACCAGCGGAGGGAUCAUUACCGAGUUUCUACUCUAAACCCUGCGAACCUACCUCUACGUGCUUCGGCGGCCGGCCCCGGGGGGCGCCUAACGGCCGCCGAAAGUACCCAAAAAUCACUUUUCAGAGUCUUCUGAGUGACAAAAAAAAACAAGUCAAAACCUUCAACAACGGAUCUCUUGGUUCUG